UUUGCAUGUAAACUUCAAAAAAAAAAUGUACUGACUGCUCAAUAUCCACUCCAAAAUAUAGAUUAUGCAAACGGGUUGUGCUAUUAUACAUAAUGAAUUAGCAGAAGGCAUCCAAAACUUUACAAAUUAAAUUUAUUUGCUACGUGGAGGGUUUGGGCCCUUUGGACGCAUCCAUACAACAAAAUCCCCAAGUUGGUACAGGCAAUCCAAUGGAAAGGGUGACAUAAUUCGCGUCUAAGAUAUCAUCCCGUUAACGCUUAACAAUUCUCAUAAAACCGCAGAAAGAGUAAACAUGCUGGAUCUCAACAAGUUGUCAUUAAUCUGCAUUUACAAGAUUACUACUAUUCUUCAUUUGGAGCUAUUGAAUAAUUCUACUUUACAAUCAAUUCAAUCAACAACCGGGCGCCAUAACCAAAAUAUAAUCAAAACUGGGGAUCACCUCAAGAA
RNAcentral lists this unclassified non-coding RNA (447 nucleotides) under Hevea brasiliensis (rubber tree). The record is from RNAcentral. Lineage: Eukaryota; Viridiplantae; Streptophyta; Magnoliopsida; Malpighiales; Euphorbiaceae.